This 497-nucleotide ribosomal RNA is filed under the name uncultured bacterium. Its description in RNAcentral is "partial 16S ribosomal RNA". It matches the Rfam family "Bacterial small subunit ribosomal RNA", at positions 28 to 507 of the family's 1533-position model. The record is from RNAcentral.
GAUGAACGCUGGCGGCGUGCCUAAUACAUGCAAGUCGAGCGAACAGACGAGGAGCUUGCUCCUCUGACGUUAGCGGCGGACGGGUGAGUAACACGUGGAUAACCUACCUAUAAGACUGGGAUAACUUCGGGAAACCGGAGCUAAUACCGGAUAAUAUAUUGAACCGCAUGGUUCAAUAGUGAAAGACGGUUUUGCUGUCACUUAUAGAUGGAUCCGCGCCGCCUUAGCUAGUUGGUAAGGUAACGGCUUACCAAGGCAACGAUGCGUAGCCGACCUGAGAGAGAGAAUGGCCACGAUGGAACUGAGACAGGGUCCAGACUCCUACGGGAGGAAGCAGUAGGAAAUCCUCCGCAAUGGGCCAAAGCCUGACGGAGAAACGCCGAGUGAGUGAUGAAGAUCUACGGAUCGUAAAACACUGUUAUUAGGGAAGAACAAAUGUGUAAGUAACUAUGCACGUCUUGACGGUACCUAAUCAGAAAGCCACGGCUAACUACGUG